This 67-nucleotide transfer RNA is filed under the name Eristalinus aeneus. RNAcentral's name for it is "tRNA-Gly". Lineage: Eukaryota; Metazoa; Arthropoda; Insecta; Diptera; Syrphidae. The record is from RNAcentral.
AUUUAUAUAGUAUAAAAGUAUAUAUGACUUCCAAUCAUAAGGUUUAUUAUUAUUAAUAAUAUAAAUA